AUGCUCAAGGUCAAGCUCGCAAACAGCAGUCUGCACACCAAUUGUCGUAUCAUGCUGGGAACAGACAAGAGAGCAACAAUAACCAGAAACUGGUCAGAGUUCCGCCGCUGUGCAAGCAUCCAUGAAGGAGAUAUCUGCGCCUUCCGUUUCAACCUUACCGCAGAGCACCGCCUGACUCUCAUCAUCCAUGUGCUCUAA
RNAcentral lists this ribosomal RNA (198 nucleotides) under Triticum aestivum (bread wheat). Its description in RNAcentral is "partial small subunit ribosomal RNA". Lineage: Eukaryota; Viridiplantae; Streptophyta; Magnoliopsida; Poales; Poaceae. The record is from RNAcentral.